Molecule: non-coding RNA, 125 nt
Organism: Hordeum vulgare subsp. vulgare (domesticated barley)
Lineage: Eukaryota; Viridiplantae; Streptophyta; Magnoliopsida; Poales; Poaceae
Source: Rfam
CAUAUACUCCGUCCGUCCGUAAUUAUUUAUCAUAAAAAUGGAUACAAAUAAAUGUAUCUAGAAUUAAAAUACAUCUAGAUACAUCCAUUACUACGACAAGUAUUUCUGAACGGAGGGAGCACUAC